Molecule: ribosomal RNA, 497 nt
Filed under: uncultured bacterium
Lineage: Bacteria
Description: partial 16S ribosomal RNA
Rfam family: Bacterial small subunit ribosomal RNA
Source: RNAcentral
GAUGAACGCUGGCGGCGUGCCUAAUACAUGCCAGUCGAGCGAACAGACGAGGAGCUUGCUCCUCUGACGUUAGCGGCGGACGGGUGAGUAACACGUGGAUAACCUACCUAUAAGACUGGGAUAACUUCGGGAAACCGGAGCUAAUACCGGAUAAUAUAUUGAACCGCAUGGUUCAAUAGUGAAAGACGGUUUUGCUGUCACUUAUAGAUGGAUCCGCGCCGCAUUAGCUAGUUGGUAAGGUAACGGCUUACCAAGGCAACGAUGCGUAGCCGACCUGAGAGGGUGAUCGGCCACACUGGAACUGAGACACGGUACAGACUCCUACGGGAGGCAGCAGUAGGGAAUCUUCCGCAAUGGGCGAAAGCCUGACGGAGCAACGCCGCGUGAGUGAUGAAGGUCUUCGGAUCGUAAAACUCUGUUAUUAGGGAAGAACAAAUGUGUAAGUAACUAUGCACGUCUUGACGGUACCUAAUCAGAAAGCCACGGCUAACUACGUG